UCAGGAUGAACGCUGGCGGUAUGCUUAACACAUGCAAGUCGAACGGUCUCUUCGGAGAUAGUGGCGGACGGGUGAGUAACGCGUGAGAAUCUAGCUUCAGGUCGGGGACAACAGUUGGAAACGGCUGCUAAUACCGGAUGUGCCGAAAGGUGAAAGAUUUAUUGCCUGAAGAUGAGCUCGCGUCUGAUUAGCUAGUAGGUGUGGUAAGAGCGCACCUAGGCGACGAUCAGUAGCUGGUCUGAGAGGACGAUCAGCCACACUGGGACUGAGACACGGCCCAGACUCCUACGGGAGGCAGCAGUGGGGAAUUUUCCGCAAUGGGCGAAAGCCUGACGGAGCAAUACCGCGUGAGGGAGGAAGGCUCUUGGGUUGUAAACCUCUUUUCUCAAGGAAGAAUACAAUGACGGUACUUGAGGAAUAAGCAUCGGCUAACUCCGUGCCAGCAGCCGCGGUAAUACGGAGGAUGCAAGCGUUAUCCGGAAUGAUUGGGCGUAAAGCGUCCGCAGGUGGCAAUGAAAGUCUGCUGUUAAAGAGUGAGGCUCAACCUCAUAAAAGCGGUGGAAACUACAUAGCUAGAGUACGUUCGGGGCAGAGGGAAUUCCUGGUGUAGCGGUGAAAUGCGUAGAGAUCAGGAAGAACACCGGUGGCGAAAGCGCUCUGCUAGGCCUGUACUGACACUGAGGGACGAAAGCUAGGGGAGCGAAUGGGAUUAGAUACCCCAGUAGUCCUAGCCGUAAACGAUGGAUACUAGGCGUGGCUUGUAUCGACCCGAGCCGUGCCGGAGCUAACGCGUUAAGUAUCCCGCCUGGGGAGUACGCACGCAAGUGUGAAACUCAAAGGAAUUGACGGGGGCCCGCACAAGCGGUGGAGUAUGUGGUUUAAUUCGAUGCAACGCGAAGAACCUUACCAAGACUUGACAUGUCGCGAAUCCUCUUGAAAGGGAGGAGUGCCUUCGGGAGCGCGAACACAGGUGGUGCAUGGCUGUCGUCAGCUCGUGUCGUGAGAUGUUGGGUUAAGUCCCGCAACGAGCGCAACCCUCGUUUUUAGUUGCCAGCAUUAAGUUGGGCACUCUAGAGAGACUGCCGGUGACAAACCGGAGGAAGGUGGGGAUGACGUCAAGUCAGCAUGCCCCUUACGUCUUGGGCUACACACGUACUACCAAUGCUACGGACAAAGGGCAGCAAGCUAGUGAUAGCAAGCAAAUCUCAUAAACCGUAGCUCAGUUCAGAUCGCAGGCUGCAACUCGCCUGCGUGAAGUCGGAAUCGCUAGUAAUUGCAGGUCAGCAUACUGCAGUGAAUUCGUUCCCGGGCCUUGUACACACCGCCCGUCACACCAUGGAAGCUGGCAACGCCCGAAGUCAUUACUCCAACCUUUCGAGGAGGAGGAUGCCUAAGGCAGUGCUGGUGACUGGGG
RNAcentral lists this ribosomal RNA (1414 nucleotides) under Calothrix sp. SA4. RNAcentral describes it as "bacterial SSU rRNA". It matches the Rfam family "Bacterial small subunit ribosomal RNA". The record is from RNAcentral. Lineage: Bacteria; Bacillati; Cyanobacteriota; Cyanophyceae; Nostocales; Calotrichaceae.